RNAcentral lists this ribosomal RNA (253 nucleotides) under uncultured bacterium. Its description in RNAcentral is "partial 16S ribosomal RNA". It matches the Rfam family "Bacterial small subunit ribosomal RNA", at positions 524 to 776 of the family's 1533-position model. The record is from RNAcentral.
UACGUAGGGUGCGAGCGUUAAUCGGAAUUACUGGGCGUAAAGUGUGCGCAGGCGGCUGCGCAAGUCGAGUGUGAAAGCCCCGGGCUUAACUUGGGAAUUGCGCUCGAAACUACGUGGCUGGAGUAUGGCAGAGGAAGGUGGAAUUCCACGUGUAGCGGUGAAAUGCGCAGAUAUCAGGAGGAACACCGGUGGCGAAGGCGGGUCUCUGGGCCGAUACUGACGCUGAGGAGCGAAAGCGUGGGGAGCGAACAGG